RNAcentral lists this ribosomal RNA (497 nucleotides) under uncultured bacterium. RNAcentral's name for it is "partial 16S ribosomal RNA". It matches the Rfam family "Bacterial small subunit ribosomal RNA", at positions 28 to 507 of the family's 1533-position model. The record is from RNAcentral.
GAUGAACGCUGGCGGCGUGCCUAAUACAUGCAAGUCGAGCGAACAGACGAGGAGCUUGCUCCUCUGACGUUAGCGGCGGACGGGUGAGUAACACGUGGAUAACCUACCUAUAAGACUGGGAUAACUUCGGGAAACCGGAGCUAAUACCGGAUAAUAUAUUGAACCGCAUGGUUCAAUAGUGAAAGACGGUUUUGCUGUCACUUAUAGAUGGAUCCGCGCCGCAUUAGCUAGUUGGUAAGGUAACGGCUUACCAAGGCAACGAUGCGUAGCCGACCUGAGAGGGGGAUAGGCCACACGGGAAAUGAGACACGGUCCAGACGCCUACGGGAGGCAGCAGUAGGGAAUCUGCCGCAAUGGGCGAAAGCAUGACGGAGCAACGCCGCGUGAGUGAUGAAGGUCUUCGGAUCGUAAAAAUCGGUUAUUAGGGAAGAACAAAUGUGUAAGUAACUAUGCACGUCUUGACGGUACCUAAUCAGAAAGCCACGGCUAACUACGUG